GUGCUUAACACAUGCAAGUCGAGUGCGCGCCUGUAGCAAUACAGGUGGCGCACGGCGCACGGGUGCGUAACACGUGGGUAAUCUGCCCUCUGAUGGGGAAUAACUCGCCGAAAGGCGAGCUAAUUCCGCAUAACAUUCCAGGGACUUUGGUUCUUGGACUCAAAGGCGUAAGUCGUCGGAGGAGGAGCCCGCGCACGAUUAGCUAGUUGGUGAGGUAAUGGCUCACCAAGGCUAUGAUCGUUAGCUGGUCUGAGAGGAUGGCCAGCCACACUGGAACUGAGACACGGUCCAG
Molecule: ribosomal RNA, 292 nt
Filed under: uncultured bacterium
Lineage: Bacteria
Description: partial 16S ribosomal RNA
Rfam family: Bacterial small subunit ribosomal RNA
Source: RNAcentral